Molecule: long non-coding RNA, 2306 nt
Organism: Caretta caretta (loggerhead turtle)
Lineage: Eukaryota; Metazoa; Chordata; Testudines; Cheloniidae
Source: RefSeq, a predicted model, not a curated record
AGGAUGGUGUGGAUUGCACUCUCAGCAAGUUUGCAGAUGACACUAAACUGGGAGGAGUGGUAGAUAUGCUGAAGGGUAGGGAUAGGAUACAGAGGGACCUAGACAAAUUGGAGGAUUGGGCCAAAAGAAAUCUGAUGAGGUUCAACAAAGACAAGUGCAGAGUCCUACACUUAGGACGGAAGAAUCCCAUGCAUUGCUACAGACUAGGGACUAAAUGGCUAGGCAGCAGUUCUGCAGAAAAGGACCUAGAGGUUACAGUGGACGAGAAGCUGGAUAUGAGUCAACAGUGUGCCCUUGUUGCCAAAAAGGCUACCGGCAUUUUGGGCUGUAUAAGUAGGGGCAUUGCCAGCAGAUCGAGGGACGUGAUCGAUCCCCUCUAUUUGACAUUGGUGAGGCUUCAUCUGGAGUACUGUGUCCAGUUUUGGGCCCCACACUACAAGAAGGAUGUGGAAAAAUUGGAAAGAGUCCAGCGGAGGGCAACAAAAAUAAUUAGGGGACUGGAACGCAUGACUUAUGAGGAGAGGCUGAGGGACCUGGGACUGUUUAGUCUGCGGAAGAGAAGAAUGAGGGGGGAUUUGAUAGCUGCUUUCAACUACCUGAAAGGGGAUUCCAAAGAGGAUGGCUCUAGACUGUUCUCAAUGGGUAGCUGAUGACAGAACAAGGAGUAAUGGUCUCAAGUUGCAGUGGGGGAGGUUUCGGUUGGAUAUUAGGGAAAACUUUUUCACUAGGAGGGAGGUGAAACACUGGAAUGCGUUACCUAGGGAGGUGGUGGAAUCUCCUUCCUUAGAUAUUUUUAAGGUCAGGGUUGACAAAGCCCUGACUGGGAUGAUUUAGUUGGGGAUUGGUCCUGCUUUGAGUAGGGGGUGGGACUAGAUGACCUCCUGAGGUCCCUUCCAACCCUGAUAUUCUAUGAUUCUAUAAGAAGCCCCCCCACCAGGACCCAGAGCUGCUGUAGGAACCAGAAUCUGAUAUUGGUAAGUUUUACAAUGAACCCCCACCCUUCCUCUGGUGAUAUAUGCCUCAGCCCAGCCCUCCAGCCCACUUCAGCAUGGUCCCAUAGCAGCACACAGCUUUAAAUCAAUGAUUUUAUUGAAAUCCCAUGAACCACUAGAAAGCAUUUAACAGAAGCCAUAACAGGCCCUUGUGUCUGUGCAUUUCUUGGCUAUCACUGACAGCAAUAGUUCAGGUGCUUCACAAAAUAGUGGGGGAAAGAAGGGGCAGGCUGAGUGCUAUAAGGCCCCAGGUGGGGAAAGAACAGUUUCAUGACACACAUGGUUGUGCAAUGAUCCAACAUUAUUCCUCUCCCACCACAUAUCCUGUCUUUCCUUCCUCUUAUGAAUGGGAGCCGAAUGGAGGGGGGAUGGGGAUGCUUAGUUCCUUGUGUGCAGGCCUGCCUACGUCCGGGAACACAAAGGGAACUGUUCGGUUGUCCAAGGAACAUCAGAGUAGUCCAUUCUCCCUGUGAUCACUUCAAAUGUUUUGUACCAUUCCCAGUACCUGGUGUCUGGCCUCUCCCUAUGCUGAGCCGCUCUGCAGAAGCCAGGAGAAGCACGGGAUAUUCUGAUGCCAACAAAGAAGCCAUUCCGGUGGAAAGGCAGGAGUUCCACAGAGAUCACAGAGGAAGACGCAGAAAGACCUGUUCAUUGGCAUAGAUGGAAGUCAGGAGCAGUUCAAGUUUCUUAGAGCAAGGAAGGAUUGGGCUCUUAGGCAUGGUUAAGGCUUUCCUGAAAAUGGAGAGUUUCACAGGCAAUGGGAGUACAUCAGAGGGAACAAGAUCAUGCACUCAGAAAAUCCUUAGUCCAACCAGCAUGCUUCUAGGCCCUGCCCACCACUGUAGCACCUGCUCCUCUGCAUGAACAAACAGCAGCUCCUCCUUCUCCUAGUCCUCCUCCAUCUGCCUGCCAGGCUGCUGCUGAGGCAGUGAAUCCCACCACCAUCCCUGACAGGAAGGAACAUGCUCGAUGCCUGGCACAACAUCCUCCGCAGGCACCUGAAACCCCUCGAGAGGGGAACCCCCCAGAACAUUCAGGAGGGGAACGAUGAGCCUGAUCCAGUUCUUGUAGUCCAGCUUGUGAACAGUCCCCAGAUCCCACACAGGAGACAACCCUAUUUGUUCCCCUCCACCCUCCAAUAUUUUUCUGCCAUUCCUCCCUUGUUAGGGAGAGGGGAAGGGCAAGGAGACAUAUUCGAAGAAGUUAACGUUUGACCACCUUUGAGGGAAUCUGACCUGUUGUUGUUGUGUAUUUGAUCUUGUUUUAGCUCUAUGUUUGAUGUAUGUUUGUCAAAUAAAAGUUACUGUUCCCGUC